RNAcentral lists this long non-coding RNA (294 nucleotides) under Olea europaea (common olive). Its description in RNAcentral is "long non-coding RNA (OEUR_LNC000107)". Lineage: Eukaryota; Viridiplantae; Streptophyta; Magnoliopsida; Lamiales; Oleaceae. The record is from RNAcentral.
CUAGCUAAGUGGGCGCAACAGUUUAGACUCAAACAUUACAUAAUAUGUAAUGUUGGGUUUUUUCAACAAUCUUAUUCCUACUGAACAUCUCGGUAUGGAUUUAUUCCUCUAUCUCCCUUUCUAUUCCCCUCUACCAUCUUUCUUUUUCCCAUGCUUUCCGUUGGUCAACAACCAACAAAAGUGUUCUAUCCUUCUUCACUACUCCGACUCUCUUUCUGUCUGGAUUGAAUCCUUUUUUCCUGUAGUUCAGGAUUCCCUCUCUAUGCCCAUAUCUAUUUAGUCAAAAGGCUAGUU